Leptinotarsa decemlineata (Colorado potato beetle) is the source of this 324-nucleotide long non-coding RNA. Lineage: Eukaryota; Metazoa; Arthropoda; Insecta; Coleoptera; Chrysomelidae. The record is from RefSeq and is a predicted model, not a curated record.
CAUGCGGAAUAGGAAGGUCAGCUCUGUGAUUCGAGUGUUGAGGAGAUGACAAAAUAUCUAAAAUGAGUAGUUACGUCAUGAAAGGAGCUCCUGAGACGAUGGCUAACAUAUAACAUUGGGACUGCUCUCCGACUAGAAAUGAGAACUUCAGCCACGCUCUUGAUGAAUUAUGACUUUGAAAAAUCGUAGAGGCACUGUUAUGAAAGAACUAUACAAAUACUUUGAAUAUUAUAAAAAAAUGUGUUGUGUUCAAUAAGAGGAUUGGAUUACCUACUACAAUCCUUGUAAACAGUGAGGAUGAUAUCAAAUAAGCUAAGAUAUAUU